GAAGGUCCCGAGCGUUGUUCGGAAUCACUGGGCGUAAAGGGAGCGUAGGCGGCAUGGUAAGUCAGAUGUGAAAUCCCGGGGCUCAACCCCGGAACUGCAUCCGAUACUGCCUUGCUUGAGGGUUGGAGAGGUGACUGGAAUUAUCGGUGUAGCAGUGAAAUGCGUGGAUAUCGAUAGGAACACUCGAGGCGAAGGCGAGUCACUGGACAACAUCUGACGCUGAGGCUCGAAGGCUAGGGGAGCAAAAGGGAUUAGAUACCCCUGUAGUCCUAGCAGUAAACGGUGUGCGCUUGGUGUGAGGGGAUUCGACCCCCCUUGUGCCGGAGCUAACGCGUUAAGCGCACCGCCUGGGAAGUACGGCCGCAAGGCUA
RNAcentral lists this ribosomal RNA (371 nucleotides) under uncultured bacterium. RNAcentral describes it as "bacterial SSU rRNA". It matches the Rfam family "Bacterial small subunit ribosomal RNA", at positions 527 to 896 of the family's 1533-position model. The record is from RNAcentral.